This 492-nucleotide ribosomal RNA is filed under the name uncultured bacterium. Its description in RNAcentral is "partial 16S ribosomal RNA". It matches the Rfam family "Bacterial small subunit ribosomal RNA", at positions 29 to 507 of the family's 1533-position model. The record is from RNAcentral.
AGUGAACGCUGGCGGUAGGCCUAACACAUGCAAGUCGAACGGCAGCACAGUAAGCGCUUGCUCUUACGGGUGGCGAGUGGCGGACGGGUGAGGAAUACAUCGGCAUCUACUUUUUCGUGGGGGAUAACGUAGGGAAACUUACGCUAAUACCGCAUACGACCUACGGGUGAAAGCAGGGGAUCUUCGGACCUUGCGCGAUUGAAUGAGCCGAUGUCGGAUUAGCUAGUUGGCGGGGUAAAGGCCCACCAAGGCGACGAUCCGUAGCUGGUCUGAGAGGAUGAUCAGCCACACUGGAACUGAGACACGGUCCAGACUCCUACGGGAGGCAGCAGUGGGGAAUAUUGGACAAUGGGCGCAAGCCUGAUCCAGCCAUACCGCGUGGGUGAAGAAGGCCUUCGGGUUGUAAAGCCCUUUUGUUGGGAAAGAAAAGCAGCAGGUUAAUACCCCGCUGUUCUGACGGUACCCAAAGAAUAAGCACCGGCUAACUUCGUG